CCUACGGGAGGCAGCAGUGGGGAAUAUUGCACAAUGGGGGAAACCCUGAUGCAGCGACGCCGCGUGAAGGAAGAAGUAUCUCGGUAUGUAAACUUCUAUCAGCAGGGAAGAUAAUGACGGUACCUGACUAAGAAGCCCCGGCUAACUACGUGCCAGCAGCCGCGGUAAUACGUAGGGGGCAAGCGUUAUCCGGAUUUACUGGGUGUAAAGGGAGCGUAGACGGUAUGGCAAGUCUGAAGUGAAAACCCGCAGCUUAACUGUGGGACUGCUUUGGAAACUGUUAAACUAGAGUGCAGGAGAGGUAAGUGGAAUUCCUAGUGUAGCGGUGAAAUGCGUAGAUAUUAGGAGGAACACCAGUGGCGAAGGCGGCUUACUGGACUGUAACUGACGUUGAGGCUCGAAAGCGUGGGGAGCAAACAGGAUU
This 424-nucleotide ribosomal RNA is filed under the name uncultured Megamonas sp. RNAcentral describes it as "bacterial SSU rRNA". It matches the Rfam family "Bacterial small subunit ribosomal RNA", at positions 338 to 779 of the family's 1533-position model. The record is from RNAcentral. Lineage: Bacteria; Bacillati; Bacillota; Negativicutes; Selenomonadales; Selenomonadaceae.